UUUCCCGUGAGCGUCAUGAGACGUUGGUCAGCACCUGUCUGGAUACUCGAGCGUUUUUUGAGCGCAUGCUACCGCAAAUUAUUGUGACACCACGUAUGUAUCACAGAUGGACGAAGAACUUGUAAUUCUUCUACUUCUCAUUCGUCGUCGUAGGCGUAGAGCUAGAGAAUCUCAACAACGGCAAAUGUGAGUCAGACCAAUCCUAUAGCGAAGGCGGCAGGUCUUUGCAUUCAUGCACGCGUCAAAGACAAGGAUAACUCUGCACGCUGUCGAUUAGACACUCCAUGCCAAAUCCGGGAUUUAAUAGGACUGUUCUUUGAUUUGUAGAAAGUAAUCACGUGAUUUCCGGUUACGUUGGUACACUUCCGGAAUCGACGCUAGAGUUGAACUUCAGUCAACUCCAGCGUCAAGGACGCUGCGACGAUCGUCGUCGACGUUGACAUGUUCACAAUAUGACGCUCACGCUAGCGUCAUCGUCAGUGUCAUCGUCAACGUCAGCGUGGUAUUGUGAACCGGGCUUUAGUUGGUGGUGAAUCUCUUCACAAAGAGGUAGCAGUGCCAAUGAUUUACACAUUUAUAGCAGGUUGAUGUUAUUCCUGAUGGGUCAAUGGUGACUAUGGACUAUGACAUUAAUCGUGUCAGGAUCUUUGUUGACAAGACAGGAGUUGUGGUGAAAGCUCCUGUUGUGGGAUGAAUUCGAUAUUCACGAAGACCUAGAAGUUUCUCUUUUUGUAACUUUUUAUUCAAUUGCAUUUGCUUUGCCAUUACACACAAUAUUGAGAAGUUGAAAAGUUGCUGUUGUUCUAAGUUCUUUUGAAAUGCAUUUGUCAUGCCAUGGAAUGCAAUAUUGAGAAAAUCUUGUGUACAUUGCAACAAGUGCUUUUUCAUCUUAGGUAUAUAAAUAUAAAUGACUCUACUGAAA
Molecule: long non-coding RNA, 922 nt
Organism: Corticium candelabrum
Lineage: Eukaryota; Metazoa; Porifera; Homoscleromorpha; Homosclerophorida; Plakinidae
Exons: 2
Source: RefSeq, a predicted model, not a curated record